This 468-nucleotide ribosomal RNA is filed under the name uncultured bacterium. RNAcentral's name for it is "partial 16S ribosomal RNA". It matches the Rfam family "Bacterial small subunit ribosomal RNA", at positions 28 to 507 of the family's 1533-position model. The record is from RNAcentral.
GACGAACGCUGGCGGCGUGCUUAACACAUGCAAGUCGAACGGAAAGGCCCUGCUUUUGUGGGGUGCUCGAGUGGCGAACGGGUGAGUAACACGUGAGUAACCUGCCCUUGACUUUGGGAUAACUUCAGGAAACUGGGGCUAAUACCGGAUAGGAGCUCCUGCUGCAUGGUGGGGGUUGGAAAGUUUCGGCGGUUGGGGAUGGACUCGCGGCUUAUCAGCUUGUUGGUGGGGUAGUGGCUUACCAAGGCUUUGACGGGUAGCCGGCCUGAGAGGGUGACCGGACACAUUGGGACUGAGAUACGGCCCAGACUCCUACGGGAGGCAGCAGUGGGGAAUAUCGCACAAUGGGCGGAAGCCUGAUGCAGCAACGCCGCGUGCGGGAUGACGGCCUUCGGGUUGUAAACCGCUUUCGCCUGUGACGAAGCGUGAGUGACGGUAAUGGGUAAAGAAGCACCGGCUAACUACGUG